Molecule: non-coding RNA, 879 nt
Organism: Paramuricea clavata
Lineage: Eukaryota; Metazoa; Cnidaria; Anthozoa; Malacalcyonacea; Plexauridae
Source: the annotation of a GenBank genome assembly
UACAUUAUUCAUACAAUGAAUCAGAUGCAGAAUCUUACAACUAUGUUAAUUUGUUCACCUGAUUGGGGAAAACCUGAGUCUAUUUGAUCUAUAUAUUGGAAUGCCUACCAAUUUUACAUAGCCUCAGGCAAACGUUUAUAUAAUUAAUCUUGAGUAAUAGAGAUGCUGUACCCCCUGACGGAGUGACCCUACUACCUGGAUCAUCCCACUAGGCAAGACAAGUUCAAAACUUUCCAUGCAAACACUUGCAUGGCAGUUGCUAUAAUAGGAUAUGAAUAUAAUUUUGCCUUGCCAAGGUGGCUGGGAUUUCCCUAGUACCCGGAGACCAUAUAAACAGGCCUUCAGAUUACUGUAAUAGUUUAAUUGCCCCCCCCCCCCAAUGCAAUUAAAAGUGGUAGGCCUACUCCUCAAAUCCAGCCCCCCUUUGAAGAUGUGCUGUAAAGGUAGACAAUUUUACUUGUUAACCCAUUAAGUCGCAUUGCGCAUUUGCGCCCAACUUUAUUAUUUUACUCUAACACCAGACGAUCCAGUUAAUUUAAUUAACCCAUUGAGGUGCAUUGUGCCCUGAUGCACCCUACUUUAUUAUUUUACUCUGUCUUACUUGUCAAGAGGAGAGCACACUUUAACAGGGAAAGGAUUAAUUGAGAAUAUUUUCUCUUCUAAUGGGAAAACUCUUUAUCAUAAUAAAAGGAACAAAUGAAUGCAAUUAUUCAUAGUAUUUAACUUUUCAUAUAAAGCAAAGAUUGUAAGAGGAAACAUGGAUCAUUGGCUACUUUUUUUUAGUAUUAAUUUUCAUUAUAGCAUGUGGGGUUAACUAUAAAGGAAACAGUUAUUGCCUAUUUUGGAAUAAAAAAUUUAGAAUAUUCAUUGACAUUGAAC